GGGGCGUUAGCUCAGCUGGGAGAGCACCGCCUUUGCAAGGCGGGGGUCAAGGGUUCGAACCCCUUACGCUCCA
This 73-nucleotide transfer RNA is filed under the name Gemmatimonadaceae bacterium. Its description in RNAcentral is "tRNA-Ala". It matches the Rfam family "tRNA". Rfam says of the family: Transfer RNA (tRNA) molecules are approximately 80 nucleotides in length. Their secondary structure includes four short double-helical elements and three loops (D, anti-codon, and T loops). The record is from RNAcentral. Lineage: Bacteria; Pseudomonadati; Gemmatimonadota; Gemmatimonadia; Gemmatimonadales; Gemmatimonadaceae. RNAcentral also lists the same sequence under 2 other names.